GCCCGAGUGGCGGAAUUGGUAGACGCCAGGGACUUAAAAUCCCUUGCUCCGGAAGGGGCGUGCCGGUUCGAUUCCGGCCUCGGGUACCA
This 89-nucleotide transfer RNA is filed under the name Desulfovibrio sp. Its description in RNAcentral is "tRNA-Leu". It matches the Rfam family "tRNA". Rfam says of the family: Transfer RNA (tRNA) molecules are approximately 80 nucleotides in length. Their secondary structure includes four short double-helical elements and three loops (D, anti-codon, and T loops). RNAcentral also lists the same sequence under 1 other name. The record is from RNAcentral. Lineage: Bacteria; Pseudomonadati; Thermodesulfobacteriota; Desulfovibrionia; Desulfovibrionales; Desulfovibrionaceae.